This 107-nucleotide small nuclear RNA is filed under the name Prolemur simus (greater bamboo lemur). The record is from RNAcentral. Lineage: Eukaryota; Metazoa; Chordata; Mammalia; Primates; Lemuridae.
GUGCUUGCUUUGGCAGCACAUAUACUAAAAUCAGAAUGAUACAGAGAAGAUUAGCACGGCCCCUAAGCAAGGACGACACACAAAUUCAUGAAGCGUUCCAUAUAAAA